Molecule: non-coding RNA, 481 nt
Filed under: Pan troglodytes (chimpanzee)
Lineage: Eukaryota; Metazoa; Chordata; Mammalia; Primates; Hominidae
Source: RNAcentral
UGGGACAAUGCACGCUCACCCCUUGAAGGCAAACUUGUGGCUUGGUGAUCCAGGGGUUGGAAAAGAGGCUGUUCACUGCCUUGGUCAAGAGGAGCUGGGAUGUGCUCGUCUUCACACCAGGAAGAAGGUUUUUCCAGCAUAACCAGGAUGACACUUGCACUUGUUUGGCCCGAUACAUUCACCAUGUUUGCAUCGUGGUUGGCACACAGCUGUGAAAAGAAGAUGGCAUGCAUUAUUUCUAGGUCAACGAAACACCAAUCAUAUAGCACUGAUGUCGUGCACUAGUUUAAUAAUAAAAGAAAAAAUACCAGAACUUACAACAAAGUAGCCAAAGUAUACAAAAUCAGUUUCCUAUAAACACUCUGUAAGCUACACACACACACAUGUGUUAUGUAUGUAUAUGUGUGUAUCAGUUGGGGCUGAAAAAAAUUUUAAAUUCAAGGACAAUACUCAAAUAGACAAAUAAAACUAGGUAAAACUA